RNAcentral lists this ribosomal RNA (301 nucleotides) under uncultured bacterium. Its description in RNAcentral is "partial 16S ribosomal RNA". It matches the Rfam family "Bacterial small subunit ribosomal RNA", at positions 509 to 807 of the family's 1533-position model. The record is from RNAcentral.
CAGUCGCCGCGGGAAUACGGAGGGUGCGAGCGUUAAUCGGAAUAACUGGGCGUAAAGGGCACGCAGGCGGUGACUUAAGUGAGGUGUGAAAGCCCCGGGCUUAACCUGGGAAUUGCAUUUCAUACUGGGUCGCUAGAGUACUUUAGGGAGGGGUAGAAUUCCACGUGUAGCGGUGAAAAGCGUAGAGAUGUGGAGGAAUACCGAAGGCGAAGGCAGCCCCUUGGGAAUGUACUGACGCUCAUGUGCGAAAGCGUGGAGAGCAAACAGGAUUAGAUACCCCAGUAGUCCCUGUCUCUUAUAC